RNAcentral lists this ribosomal RNA (561 nucleotides) under Halorubrum ezzemoulense. RNAcentral's name for it is "bacterial SSU rRNA". It matches the Rfam family "Archaeal small subunit ribosomal RNA", at positions 54 to 616 of the family's 1478-position model. Lineage: Archaea; Methanobacteriati; Methanobacteriota; Halobacteria; Halobacteriales; Haloferacaceae. The record is from RNAcentral.
CUAGUCGCACGAGUUCAGACUCGUGGCGAAUAGCUCAGUAACACGUGGCCAAACUACCCUUCGGAACACAAUACCCUCGGGAAACUGAGGCUAAUAGUGUAUACCAUACCACCACUGGAAUGAGUGGUAUGCCAAACGCUCCGGCGCCAAAGGAUGUGGCUGCGGCCGAUUAGGUAGACGGUGGGGUAACGGCCCACCGUGCCAAUAAUCGGUAUGGGUCAUGAGAGUGAGAACCCAGAGACGGAAUCUGAGACAAGAUUCCGGGCCCUACGGGGCGCAGCAGGCGCGAAACCUUUACACUGCACGACAGUGCGAUAGGGGGAUCCCAAGUGCACAGGCAUAGCGCCUGUGCUUUUCGGUACCCUAAGGCGGUACCAGAAUAAGGGCUGGGCAAGACCGGUGCCAGCCGCCGCGGUAAUACCGGCAGCCCAAGUGAUGGCCGAUCUUAUUGGGCCUAAAGCGUCCGUAGCUGGCCGCGCAAGUCCAUCGGGAAAUCCACCUGCUCAACAGGUGGGCGCCCGGUAGAAACUGCGUGGCUUGGGACCGGAAGGCGCGACGGGU